AUCCGAGUGCAAGGGCAUUACGCGUAUCAGUGAGGAUUCGUCCGAGAUCGUGUUUUUGCUAGUUGAAAACUAUAACUAUGACCACUCCUGGUUGGCUUAGGCUGGCCAGGGAAUUUUUGAACAACCCAAGAUCUCUGAAGAUUUCUCUCCCUUAUUUGCUUUCAUCGCUUGCGGUCCCAUGCUGGAUCGGGGU
RNAcentral lists this small nuclear RNA (193 nucleotides) under Colletotrichum graminicola M1.001. RNAcentral describes it as "U4 spliceosomal RNA". The stretch from base 1 to 131 matches the Rfam family "U4 spliceosomal RNA". Rfam says of the family: U4 small nuclear RNA (U4 snRNA) is a component of the major U2-dependent spliceosome. The structure of U4 snRNA from yeast and human has been reported. U4 snRNA presents a k-turn RNA motif in the 5p-SL related to recognition of Snu13 protein. Lineage: Eukaryota; Fungi; Ascomycota; Sordariomycetes; Glomerellales; Glomerellaceae. The record is from RNAcentral.